GAGAGGUAACGGCUCACCAAGGCAUCGACGGGUAGCUGGUCUGAGAGGAUGAUCAGCCACACUGGAACUGAGACACGGUCCAGACUCCUACGGGAGGCAGCAGUGGGGAAUCUUGCACAAUGGGCGAAAGCCUGAUGCAGCGAUGCCGCGUGCGGGAAGAAGGCCUUAGGGUUGUAAACCGCUUUCAGGAGGGAAGAAAAUGACGGUACCUCCAGAAGAAGGUGCGGCCAACUACGUGCCAGCAGCCGCGGUGACACGUAGGCACCAAGCGUUAUCCGGAUUUAUUGGGCGUAAAGAGCUCGUAGGCGGUUUGGUAAGUCGGGUGUGAAAACUCUGGGCUCAACCCAGAGAGGCCACUCGAUACUGCUAUGACUAGAGUACGGUAGGGGAGCGGGGAAUUCCUGGUGUAGCGGUGAAAUGCGCAGAUAUCAGGAGGAACACCAGCGGCGAAGGCGCCGCUCUGGGCCGUAACUGACGCUGAGGAGCGAAAGCAUGGGUAGCAAACAGGAUUAGAUACCCUGGUAGUCCAUGCCGUAAACGUUGGGCACUAGGUGUGGGUCUCAACCAACGAGAUCCGCGCCGUCGCUAACGCAUUAAGUG
Molecule: ribosomal RNA, 600 nt
Filed under: uncultured Actinomycetes bacterium
Lineage: Bacteria; Bacillati; Actinomycetota; Actinomycetes
Description: bacterial SSU rRNA
Rfam family: Bacterial small subunit ribosomal RNA
Source: RNAcentral